Molecule: ribosomal RNA, 392 nt
Filed under: uncultured bacterium
Lineage: Bacteria
Description: bacterial SSU rRNA
Rfam family: Bacterial small subunit ribosomal RNA
Source: RNAcentral
GGACGAACGCUGGCGGCGUGCCUAACACAUGCAAGUCGAACGGGGCCCGCAAGGGUUCAGUGGCGAACGGGUGCGUAACACGUGAAGAAUUUGUCCAACGGCGGGGGAUAGCCGGCCCAACGGCCGGGUAAUACCGCGUACGACCGUCGAGGGGCAUCCCUCGACGGUGAAAGCCGCAAGGCGCCGAUGGAGAACUUCGCGGCCUAUCAGCUAGUUGGUGAGGUCAUGGCUCACCAAGGCGACGACGGGUAGCUGGUCCGAGAGGAUGACCAGCCACAUUGGGACUGAGACACGGCCCAGACUCCUACGGGAGGCAGCAGUGGGGAAUAUUGCGCAAUGGGCGAAAGCCUGACGCAGCGACGCCGCGUGUGGGAUGACGGCCUCGGUUGUAA